GACGAACGCUGGCGGCGUGCUUAACACAUGCAAGUCGAACGAUGAAGCUAGAGCUUGCUCUGGUGGAUUAGUGGCGAACGGGUGAGUAACACGUGAGUAACCUGCCCCGAACUCUGGAAUAACUGCUGGAAACGGUAGCUAAUACUGGAUACGACCAACGAAGGCAUCUUCUGUUGGUGGAAAGAAUUUCGGUUCGGGAUGGACUCGCGGCCUAUCAGCUUGUUGGUGAGGUAACGGCUCACCAAGGCGACGACGGGUAGCCGGCCUGAGAGGGUGAUCGGCCACACUGGGACUGAGACACGGCCCAGACUCCUACGGGAGGCAGCAGUGGGGAAUAUUGCACAAUGGGCGCAAGCCUGAUGCAGCAACGCCGCGUGAGGGACGACGGCCUUCGGGUUGUAGACCUCUCUUAGUAGGGAAGAAGCGAAAGUGACGGUACCUGCAGAAAAAGCACCGGCUAACUACGUGCCAGCCGCCGCGGUAA
This 484-nucleotide ribosomal RNA is filed under the name uncultured bacterium. RNAcentral describes it as "partial 16S ribosomal RNA". It matches the Rfam family "Bacterial small subunit ribosomal RNA", at positions 28 to 523 of the family's 1533-position model. The record is from RNAcentral.